Non-coding RNA from Pelobates cultripes (western spadefoot toad), 246 nucleotides. Lineage: Eukaryota; Metazoa; Chordata; Amphibia; Anura; Pelobatidae. The record is from the annotation of a GenBank genome assembly.
GCGAGAAUCAAUUGUUCUCCUCUCUGGACCUGAAAUGUCAAUGUAUUACUUAGAGUUUGCAGGCUUUUAUACCUACUGUGGAAUGGGCGCAUGCAGUAAAGGGGUGACUUUCUCAGAGAACCCAGACAUGAGUGUUCAAAAGGGGCAGAUGGAUACUAGGUUUGACCAGCUGAUGUAUUUAACAAAUAGUCAUCAUCAUUAUUUAUGGAGGCUUGUGGACUAUGGCUGGUGGUAACUCAGAACUGC